This 315-nucleotide long non-coding RNA is filed under the name Androctonus crassicauda. The record is from RNAcentral. Lineage: Eukaryota; Metazoa; Arthropoda; Arachnida; Scorpiones; Buthidae.
AAGAAUUACCUGCAAUUCUUAGAAGAACCUUCAAUCUGCGAUAAUGAAAUUUGUUUUCUUCUUGCUGUUGGCCAUGGCUGUGUUGAUGUACUGUGCAGAUGCUAGCAGUGAGAGUGAGAAAAGUGAGAGUGAAGAAAGUGAGAGUGAGAGCGAAGAAAGCCGUAGUAGAGGAAGUGGUAGUGGCGAAAGUGGUAGUGACGAAGACAGCGAUGAACGCAAACGUUGACGACUGUUGGAGAAAAUCGAAAAUGGCCUGUGUUCAUCUCCCUGAUGUGCAUUGGAUAAAUAUGGAAAAUAAAAUUUUCUAAAAGCAUA